This is a long non-coding RNA of Theobroma umbraticum, 753 nucleotides long. RefSeq lists it as uncharacterized. Lineage: Eukaryota; Viridiplantae; Streptophyta; Magnoliopsida; Malvales; Malvaceae. The record is from RefSeq and is a predicted model, not a curated record.
GACUUAUCCGUCUGAGAAGUUGCGAACCUUACCAGUCUCCGUUAUAGGCUGAAAGGAGAUUAAUACUCUAAAAACUUACAAUAAGCGAAAAAAGAUAUUGCUUGUGGCUGUUUCACAUCUUAUUGGGAAUAGCUUCGUCAGAAUGAUCUCAGCGCCAAAAUCCACAGGGAAAACGAUCUUUCCCUGUCAGAUGACAAUUUACAGUUGAGCGAUUGAUUAAUAAUUCCUCGUCCACUUCGACAUAAAGUUGAGAGGAAGUCUAUAAAUAUUGAAAUCCUCUCAACUUUCCAUGCCAAAGCACAAGGCUCACAGAGUCGCCCCUUGAUAGAGAAGCGGAAUCUAAACAAUUCUGUCGAGGACUUGAGACAGUACCUGGACGAAGAAGCUAAGAAAAUCCAGAAUGGACAGGUUGAGAGAACAAGUCCUGGGGGACCUGACCCACAACAUCACUUCAUAAAUAACUAGUUUAAAACUUUGUAGUAGGAGGUGGUUUCUUCUGUAACGAGUAAAACAGGAUUGGUAUAUAUCUCCUUCUUCAUGUGGAUUUUAUUUCUUGUUACCUUUCCCUCUUUCUCUCUUUUCUUUCUUGAAUAUGGAGAAAACAACAUCAAUAUGUGGGUUUCACUUGGAAAUGGAGGAAAUGUCAAAUACCUGUUAGAUAUGAAAAAUCCUCUUCUCGUAGGGCCUGGUGGGUUGACAUAUGCUUGUACUACCUUUAAUAGAUUAAAUGAAUGUUUCACUUUUUAAUCUUUA